Molecule: ribosomal RNA, 255 nt
Filed under: uncultured bacterium
Lineage: Bacteria
Description: partial 16S ribosomal RNA
Rfam family: Bacterial small subunit ribosomal RNA
Source: RNAcentral
UACGGGGGGAGCAAGCGUUGUUCGGAUUUACUGGGCGUAAAGGGCGCGUAGGCGGCCACCGCAAGUCGACUGUGAAAUCUCCGGGCUUAACUCGGAAAGGUCAGCCGAUACUGCGGGGCUAGAGUGCAGAAGGGGCAACUGGAAUUCUCGGUGUAGCGGUGAAAUGCGUAGAUAUCGAGAGGAACACCUGCGGCGAAGGCGGGUUGAUGGGCUGACACUGACGCUGAUUGUGCGAAAGCUAGGGGAGCGAACGGG